Molecule: ribosomal RNA, 254 nt
Filed under: uncultured bacterium
Lineage: Bacteria
Description: partial 16S ribosomal RNA
Rfam family: Bacterial small subunit ribosomal RNA
Source: RNAcentral
UACGGAGAGCGCAAGCAUUAAUCGGAAUUAUUGGGCGUAAAGGGCGCGUAGGCGGGACGGUAAGUCAGAUGUGAAAUUCCGAAGCUCAACUUCGGAGCUGCAUUUGAAACUGCCAUUCUAAGAGGAUAGACGGAGAGAACGGAAUUCCAUGUGUAGCGGUGAAAUGCGUAGAUAUAUGGAAGAACACCUGUGGCGUAAGCGGUUCUCUAGUUUAUUUCUGACGCUGAGGCACGAGAGUGUGGGGAGCAAACAGG